AUCCAACUGACGAGUCUCAAAUAAGACGAAACGCGUUUCAAACUGGAU
Non-coding RNA from Schistosoma curassoni, 48 nucleotides. NCBI's taxonomy places the organism in Eukaryota, Metazoa, Platyhelminthes, Trematoda, Strigeidida, Schistosomatidae. The record is from Rfam.